Molecule: ribosomal RNA, 440 nt
Filed under: uncultured bacterium
Lineage: Bacteria
Description: partial 16S ribosomal RNA
Rfam family: Bacterial small subunit ribosomal RNA
Source: RNAcentral
CCUACGGGUGGCAGCAGUAGGGAAUAUUGCUCAAUGGGGGAAACCCUGAAGCAGCAACGCCGCGUGGAGGAUGAAGGUUUUCGGAUUGUAAACUCCUUUUGUCAGAGAAGAUAAUGACGGUAUCUAACGAAUAAGCACCGGCUAACUCCGUGCCAGCAGCCGCGGUAAUACGGAGGGUGCAAGCGUUACUCGGAUUCACUGGGCGGAAAGAGCGCGUAGGCGGGAUAGCAAGUCAGAUGUGAAAUCCUAUGGCUUAACCAUAGGACUGCAUUUGAAACUGUAAUUCUAGAGUAUGGGAGAGGUAGGUGGAAUUCUUGGUGUAGCGGUGAAAUCCGUAGAGAUCAAGAGGAAUACUCGUUGCGAAGGCGACCUGCUAGAACAUAACUGACGCUGAUGCGCGAAAGCGUGGGGAGCAAACAGGAUUAGAUACCCUUGUAGUC